This 253-nucleotide ribosomal RNA is filed under the name uncultured bacterium. Its description in RNAcentral is "partial 16S ribosomal RNA". It matches the Rfam family "Bacterial small subunit ribosomal RNA", at positions 524 to 776 of the family's 1533-position model. The record is from RNAcentral.
CACGGGGGGAGCAAGCGUUGUUCGGAAUCACUGGGCGUAAAGGGCGUGUAGGCGGUCAGGUAAGUGGGAUGUGAAAUCCCUCGGCUCAACUGAGGAGCGUCGAUCGAAACUGCCGUUCUUGAGGGUUGCAGAGGAGACUGGAAUUCCCGGUGUAGCGGUGAAAUGUGUAGAGAUCGGGAGGAACACCGGUGGCGAAGGCGGGUCUCUGGGCAACUCCUGACGCUGAGGCGCGAAAGCGUGGGGAGCAAACGGG